RNAcentral lists this ribosomal RNA (585 nucleotides) under uncultured bacterium. RNAcentral describes it as "partial 16S ribosomal RNA". It matches the Rfam family "Bacterial small subunit ribosomal RNA", at positions 355 to 935 of the family's 1533-position model. The record is from RNAcentral.
UGGGGAAUAUUGCACAAUGGGCGCAAGCCUGAUGCAGCCAUGCCGCGUGUGUGAAGAAGGCCUUCGGGUUGUAAAGCACUUUCAGCGAGGAGGAAGGUGGUGAACUUAAUACGUUCACCAAUUGACGUUACUCGCAGAAGAAGCACCGGCUAACUCCGUGCCAGCAGCCGCGGUAAUACGGAGGGUGCAAGCGUUAAUCGGAAUUACUGGGCGUAAAGCGCACGCAGGCGGUUUGUUAAGUCAGAUGUGAAAUCCCCAGGCUCAACCUGGGAACUGCAUUUGAGACUGGCAAGCUAGAGUCUCGUAGAGGGGGGUAGAAUUCCAGGUGUAGCGGUGAAAUGCGUAGAGAUCUGGAGGAAUACCGGUGGCGAAGGCGGCCCCCUGGACGAAGACUGACGCUCAGGUGCGAAAGCGUGGGGCAGCAAACAGGAUUAGAUACCCUGGUAGUCCAGCGCUGUAAACGAUGUCGAUUUUGGAGGUUGUGCCCUUGAGGCGUGGCUUCCGGAGCUAACGCGUUAAAUCGACCGCCUGGGGAGUACGGCCGCAAGGUUAAAGCUCAAGGAAUUGACGGGGUCAUAGCUGUUU